RNAcentral lists this long non-coding RNA (774 nucleotides) under Gossypium raimondii (Peruvian cotton). Its description in RNAcentral is "long non-coding RNA (GRAI_LNC009709)". The record is from RNAcentral. Lineage: Eukaryota; Viridiplantae; Streptophyta; Magnoliopsida; Malvales; Malvaceae.
UUUGACAAAAUCACCAUAUUCAUUACGAACCAUCGCAGCAAAGGUAGAGACCCGAGCAGUGUGAUCGAUGGCGGCAUCAACGUUACAUUCAACCAAGCCAGCCGGCGGCGGAGACCAAACGGUAGCAGCUGAAAAAGUAGCCAAAGACAACCCUUUGAGCCGGCCAUAGGCGCUCCUCGAGGCUGCCCAAUCCUGCAUGAAACGGGCAGCAAAAGAAACAACCUGUUGCGAAGGCACAAAAGAAGCUUUCCAGACAGCAGAGUUACGAAAAUACCAAAGGCUCCAAAGCGUGACGGCCACCUACUCCAGUCGGUCAACAUCCGAACCCAGCAGCAAACUACAAAGCCAGUCAAACAGGGAGGCUCGGGGCAUCAAUAUUCACCAAAGACCAGACCAAAGCAGCAAACGGACACCCAAGAAACACAUGAUCGAUCUCUUGAUCAGUCCCCGCAGCGAACACAGUCGACAAGGACCGCAGAACCCUUUUCUGCUAACCGACACCAAACCGGCAAAAAAUUCCGCAGACAACGCCAUAUAAAGUCUUUAACCUUAGGCGCUAGGGACGAGUUCCACAAUCUCAGCCAUAGUCCCUCCACCUGCUGCGAACAGCAAGUUUAUAGUUAUAAUUCAGCGUAUAAGUACCUCGACGAUCAAAAUGUCAUAUUCAUCGAUCGGGCACAGAAAAGGAACUUACGGUAAUCGUAGAACACGCGAGGCAUCAGAAGGGGUUAACAAACCAUCAAUAAGCGAAACAUCCCACCCCUUACCAUCGGC